AGUACAUAUCAAACGGGACAGUGGCAGAUCAUCUGCAUGGAAAUCGGGCCAAAUCUGGUUUACUCUCUUGGCCUGUCCGAAUGAACAUAGCCAUUGAGACUGCUGAUGCUCAGGCUUAUCUCCACUCCUCAAUUAUAAUACGCCGUGAUGUCAAAACCAACAACAUUCUAUUAGACAAUGAUUUCCAUGUGAAAGUUUCUGAUUUUGGGCUAUCAAGAUUGUUCCCAAAUAAUGUCACACGUCUCUACUGCUCCACAGGUUCACACAUACUGGCAAGGAGGAGGAGCUAUCAUAUGUUUUGUGUUGUGGAUUACGGGACAAUGUAAACUUGCCGCAUUAUAUCUUUGAUGCAUAGAGAUUUUGUUUUAGUUUGACACGGAUAAAGAAUGCAUCAAAAGAACCAGAAUUGGUGUACCAUAUUGUCAAGGGGACUUUUGAGAGAGUGGUGUUCAGCCCGAAUAUGUGUGCUAAAGCUUAGACACUGACGUUGAACCUCUUCUAGUAUGUUUCCAGCUCAGAACUUGAUUUGAUUUCUUGUAUAUAAUAUGUUCUCUCCUAACUUGGAUCUUGAAAACUCUAAUCAAUAUAAAAUCUGCUUUAGAAAUUUGAAAGGGUGACCGCUGCCUACUGGGAUUGUUUUCGACUUUAGAUAUCAGUACUCUCUUAUCUUCAAGUGAAUUUAAAGUUAAAGGUUAAUGAAUGGUGUGGUGAAUUGAAAAAGAAUCAGAUAGAAGAAUGACAUCAGCUAUUGAGAAAAUGUCGGAAAAGGCAGGGUCCAGCGCCGAGGAAAUGCCAAGUUUUUUUGGCAGAAUGCGGAAACAAGAGUCUUAUACUAGUAGUUGCUCAUCGUGACUUGUUUCUAUCGCUUUAGGCAUGGAAGGCGACUGAUUGCUCUGCGCAUUGUUUGUUGUGAAUAUAACAUGGAGUGAUUGUGCUGGUCCAUUACUUUCCCAUCAUUGCUCUUUACCUUAAAUUUCCCUUUCCCUUACUUUCUCUUUUUUCUUUCUUUGCUUUUACUGUCUCUGCGCAAAUCUUUCUAUAUUCCCGU
Non-coding RNA from Nicotiana tabacum (common tobacco), 1048 nucleotides. The record is from RefSeq and is a predicted model, not a curated record. NCBI's taxonomy places the organism in Eukaryota, Viridiplantae, Streptophyta, Magnoliopsida, Solanales, Solanaceae.